This 99-nucleotide ribosomal RNA is filed under the name Sechium hintonii. RNAcentral describes it as "partial 25S ribosomal RNA". It matches the Rfam family "Eukaryotic large subunit ribosomal RNA", at positions 1 to 101 of the family's 3401-position model. The record is from RNAcentral. Lineage: Eukaryota; Viridiplantae; Streptophyta; Magnoliopsida; Cucurbitales; Cucurbitaceae.
ACCCCAGGUCAGGCGGGACUACCCGCUGAAUUUAAGCAUAUCAAUAAGCGGAGGAAAAGAAACUUACRAGGAUUCCCUUAGUAACGGCGAGCGAACCGG